Molecule: ribosomal RNA, 496 nt
Filed under: uncultured bacterium
Lineage: Bacteria
Description: partial 16S ribosomal RNA
Rfam family: Bacterial small subunit ribosomal RNA
Source: RNAcentral
GAUGAACGCUGGAGCGUGCCUAAUACAUGCAAGUCGAGCGAACAGAUGAGGAGCUUGCUCCUCUGACGUUAGCGGCGGACGGGUGAGUAACACGUGGAUAACCUACCUAUAAGACUGGGAUAACUUCGGGAAACCGGAGCUAAUACCGGAUAAUAUAUUGAACCGCAUGGUUCAAUAGUGAAAGACGGUUUUGCUGUCACUUAUAGAUGGAUCCGCGCCGCAUUAGCUAGUUGGUAAGGUAACGGCUUACCAAGGCAACGAUGCGUAGCCGACCUGAGAGGGUGAUCGGCCACACUGGAACUGAGACACGGUCCAGACUCCUACGGGAGGCAGCAGUAGGGAAUCUUCCGCAAUGGGCGAAAGCCUGACGGAGCAACGCCGCGUGAGUGAUGAAGGUCUUCGGAUCGUAAAACUCUGUUAUUAGGGAAGAACAAAUGUGUAAGUAACUAUGCACGUCUUGACGGUACCUAAUCAGAAAGCCACGGCUAACUACGUG